GAUUGUGGCUCAGGGGUAGAGGGCUUGACUAGCACGUCCAAGACCCUGGGUUCGAACUUCAGCAACA
This 67-nucleotide transfer RNA is filed under the name Marmota monax (woodchuck). RNAcentral's name for it is "tRNA.Ala". Lineage: Eukaryota; Metazoa; Chordata; Mammalia; Rodentia; Sciuridae. The record is from RNAcentral.